RNAcentral lists this transfer RNA (64 nucleotides) under Thottea siliquosa. RNAcentral describes it as "partial tRNA-Phe". The record is from RNAcentral. Lineage: Eukaryota; Viridiplantae; Streptophyta; Magnoliopsida; Piperales; Aristolochiaceae.
GGGGGAAAACCCCACCGGGAAAAAAAAAGGACUAAAAACCCCCGGGUCCCCGUUUCAAAUAAAA